UACGUAGGUGGCAAGCGUUGUCCGGAUUUACUGGGCGUAAAGGGCGUGCAGGCGGUCUGUUAAGUGCAGGGUGAAAGCUCCCGGCUCAACUGGGAGAGGUCCUUGCAUACUGGCGGACUUGAGGGGGGUAGAGGAAAGUGGAAUUCCCGGUGUAGUGGUGAUAUGCGUAGAUAUCGGGAGGAACACCUGUGGCGAAGGCGGCUUUCUGGGCCCUAACUGACGCUGAGACGCGAAAGCGUGGGGAGCGAACCGG
Molecule: ribosomal RNA, 253 nt
Filed under: uncultured bacterium
Lineage: Bacteria
Description: partial 16S ribosomal RNA
Rfam family: Bacterial small subunit ribosomal RNA
Source: RNAcentral